AGAGUUGUAGUCCUGGCUCAGGAUGAACGCUAGCGACAGGCUUAACACAUGCAAGUCGAGGGCAGCAUAAAAGUAGCAAUACUUGGUGGCGACCGGCGCACGGGUGAGUAACGCGUAUGCAACCUACCUAUCGAGAGGGGAAUAACCCGGCGAAAGUCGGACUAAUACCGCAUAAAACAGGGACACUGCAUGGUGAUAUUUGUUAAAGAAAUUCGCUGAUAGAUGGGCAUGCGUUCCAUUAGGUAGUUGGUGAGGUAACGGCUCACCAAGCCGACGAUGGAUAGGGGAACUGAGAGGUUGGUCCCCCACACUGGUACUGAGACACGGACCAGACUCCUACGGGAGGCAGCAGUGAGGAAUAUUGGUCAAUGGGCGAGAGCCUGAACCAGCCAAGUCGCGUGAAGGAAGAAGGAUCUAUGGUUCGUAAACUUCUUUUGCAGGGGAAUAAAGUGCAGGACGUGUCCUGUUUUGUAUGUACCCUGAGAAUAAGGAUCGGCUAACUCCGUGCCAGCCGCCGC
This 518-nucleotide ribosomal RNA is filed under the name uncultured bacterium. RNAcentral's name for it is "bacterial SSU rRNA". It matches the Rfam family "Bacterial small subunit ribosomal RNA", at positions 8 to 518 of the family's 1533-position model. The record is from RNAcentral.